GACGAACGCUGGCGGCGUGCCUAAUACAUGCAAGUCGAGCGAAGUUGAUAGAGUGCUUGCACUCUUGAUGCUUAGCGGCGGACGGGUGAGUAACACGUAGGCAACCUGCCUGUAAGACUGGGAUAACUACCGGAAACGGUAGCUAAUACCGGAUAGGCUUUUCCCUCUCCUGAGGGAAAAGAGAAAGACGGAGCAAUCUGUCACUUACAGAUGGGCCUGCGGCGCAUUAGCUAGUUGGUGAGGUAAUGGCUCACCAAGGCGACGAUGCGUAGCCGACCUGAGAGGGUGAUCGGCCACACUGGGACUGAGACACGGCCCAGACUCCUACGGGAGGCAGCAGUAGGGAAUCUUCCGCAAUGGACGAAAGUCUGACGGAGCAACGCCGCGUGAGUGAUGAAGGCCCUCGGGUCGUAAAGCUCUGUUGCCAAGGAAGAACAGUCGAGAGAGUAACUGCUCUCGAAAUGACGGUACUUGAGAAGAAAGCCCCGGCUAACUACGUGCCAGCCGCCGCAGUAAAAC
Molecule: ribosomal RNA, 519 nt
Filed under: uncultured bacterium
Lineage: Bacteria
Description: bacterial SSU rRNA
Rfam family: Bacterial small subunit ribosomal RNA
Source: RNAcentral